This 228-nucleotide long non-coding RNA is filed under the name Homo sapiens (human). RNAcentral describes it as "non-protein coding lnc-MITF-12:1". The record is from RNAcentral. Lineage: Eukaryota; Metazoa; Chordata; Mammalia; Primates; Hominidae.
AUGGCUUCCAGUGCUUUAACAAAACCUCAGAUGCAUGGACUUUGGGCCAAGCAUCUGCGAUUUCAUAUUAUUGGAGUAUUUGUUGUAUCCCUGGGGGUUGUAGCUCUCUUUAAGUUUGCUGUGGCUGAACCAAGAAAGAAGGCAUACACAGAUUUCUGCAGAAAUUAUGAUUCCAUGAAAGAUUUUGAGGAGAUGAGGAAGGCUGGUAUCUUUCAGAGGACAAAGUGA